Molecule: ribosomal RNA, 467 nt
Filed under: uncultured bacterium
Lineage: Bacteria
Description: bacterial SSU rRNA
Rfam family: Bacterial small subunit ribosomal RNA
Source: RNAcentral
AAUCAACGCUGGCGGCGUGCCUCAGACAUGCAAGUCGAACGAUUAAAGCUCUCUUCGGAGAGUGCAUAGAGUGGCGCACGGGUGAGUAACACGUAAGUAAUCUACCUUCGAGUGGGGAAUAACGUCCGGAAACGGGCGCUAAUACCGCAUAAUGCAGCGGCAUCGCAAGAUGACAGUUGUUAAAGGAGCAAUCCGCUUGAAGAGGAGCUUGCGGCAGAUUAGCUAGUUGGUAGGGUAAUGGCCCACCAAGGCUACGAUCUGUAACCGGUCUUAGAGGACGGUCGGUCACACUGACACUGAAUAACGGGUCAGACUCCUACGGGAGGCAGCAGUCGGGAAUUUUGGGCAAUGGGGGAAACCCUGACCCAGCAACGCCGCGUGAAGGAUGAAGUAUUUCGGUAUGUAAACUUCGAAAGAAUAGGAAGAAUUAAUGACGGUACUAUUUAUAAGGUCCGGCUAACUACGUG